AGAAUCAGUGGUCAUGGAGGUUCA
This 24-nucleotide non-coding RNA is filed under the name Arabidopsis thaliana (thale cress). The record is from RNAcentral. Lineage: Eukaryota; Viridiplantae; Streptophyta; Magnoliopsida; Brassicales; Brassicaceae.